AUGGCUAUGUGUGUGCCAGCAAGACAAUGGCUCUGCGUAAACUACUGGAGGCCGAAACCACAGACGCUGGCUUUACCAAUCAAGAGAAAGACCCUGAGGAGUUCCUGAACAAGCUUUUCCAGCUCCUGCGCAUGGAGCCACUCCUGAGGAUCAGGUCUAUGAACCAUCAGCCUCAGCAGUGCCACAUCUACCAGCUCUUCCCUCCCUCCACCACCCCGUCCUCCCCC
Long non-coding RNA from Engraulis encrasicolus (European anchovy), 227 nucleotides. RefSeq lists it as uncharacterized. NCBI's taxonomy places the organism in Eukaryota, Metazoa, Chordata, Actinopteri, Clupeiformes, Engraulidae. The transcript has 3 exons. The record is from RefSeq and is a predicted model, not a curated record.